RNAcentral lists this long non-coding RNA (27095 nucleotides) under Triticum aestivum (bread wheat). RNAcentral's name for it is "long non-coding RNA (TAES_LNC011650)". Lineage: Eukaryota; Viridiplantae; Streptophyta; Magnoliopsida; Poales; Poaceae. The record is from RNAcentral.
UUUUUUUUUAUUUUCUUAGGAUGUUGAUCGGUUUCGGGUUGUAAAGCGGACUAAACAUGCAGCAGCAGCAGCAGGGCGAGCCGAAUCAUCUACUAGGGUAAGUAAAUCCUUGAAUAUCAAUGUUUCUCAGGUUUUUAGGGGCUGAUGAAUUUAUGAUGUUGUUGGCACAACUAUUUUUGUUCUAGUUGCUCAAUUACCAUCUUGUAGUUGACAUCACUGGUCAUCUUGAUGUACAUAUAGUUUUCACAGAAGUUGACAUCUUUGUAGUUGACAUCAUUUGUCACCAUUUUUGUGCAGGCAGCAGUUGGUGGAGGAGCUGCCUCAUCUUCCGUAGCAGAUGCUGAGGUAUGAGGUCUUUUUGCGUGUGUUUAUGAGCUAUUGAACUAUUUCUUUGCAAACCUUUUUUUAGUUGCUGUUACCUUCUUUCCAACAUCAUGCUUUAUCGUUGCACAUCCCCUAGAACUUUCUGUAGUUGUCAGGUCUAGGUUUUUUAUUAGGUUCUUGUUGUUUGCACACUAGUAGUCUUCAGUUGCCAUGAUGAGCUUUCUUUGUUGCACAAAAACACCAAAUCAGUUGGCAUGAUCCAUUUUAUGUUUAUAUAGUUUUUGCAAUACUGUUCCACAUGAUCAUUGCUAGUUUUUUCACAGUUCAGUUUUCUGUCCUGUGUUUAGAUUUUUUUUAUUUUCUCAUCAUCAGGCCAACGGUGAAGGAGUUGAGGUGGCCGCCCAGGAAGAUGUGGAGCGACCAUCACAAGCUGGCAGGUUAAGGGCAUCACCAAGGCAGUUUGCGAAGUUCAACAGCUCGAUAUCCCCGCCACAGAAGUCAGAGCUAGUUUCAAGGUUGUUUGGGGGCCUCUUGAACUUAUCAGAUACACUUCCAGGGGACUUCAGUAAAUUCCUGGUGCAGUCCUACCAGCCAGAGACAUCUGAAAUGGUGUUCCCAGGCAGAGGAAGUAUCCGUGUCGAUGCUGACAGUGUUCAAAGGGUAUUUGAUCUUCCUAACAGGGGUCUAAAAGUUAGUUAUAAAGUUGACAAGGAUACAACUAGGAGAUUCAGAGAGACCUUCAACAUAACUGGAACUUCUCGUCCCCAGAUCAGUACAUGGACCAAGAUGAUUAAGGAUAUGGGGGGAAGAACGGAUGACACAUUCUUUAUGACUUGGCUUGCGGUUGCAUUCAGCACUUUCUUAGCACCAACCACGGCCCUGAGGCUGAGCCCAAAGAGCUACGGACUCGUGCUAGAUCAUGAAAACCUCAAGAACAUGAACAUCUUCCUUUUUUGUAGUAGAACACAUCAAUGAAGCUUUCCGGAACAUGGACCAGGCGAAGCAAACUGUUUGCUGCUGCUUGUAUCACUUGUUGGUGAGUGAAAACCAGUACUUCAAUGUGUUUUUCUUCUUUUAGUGCAGUCAUAGUUUCUGAAAAAUACCCCUAUAAUAACUGAAAUUUGGUUUUUUCUUUUUUGGUUCUGCGGCAGAUCCUGUACCUUGACGCGCUCGUUCAUGACAUCCCAGUAAGCAACUGUGCUAUAUGAUCGAAUGCAUGGGACAGUAGCCUAAUUGGCAAGGUGAUCAAGAAGGACAUGAUCUCUCCUGGUGUGUUCGGCAAGUUACAAGUGAGUUCCAUUUUUUUUCAACAGUGGCUAUUUUUAUGUUCUAUUCAUUUCUGCCCAGUUUUAAUUCCUUGGUAGGUGCAUAUACGAUUUUGAGACCAGCUUUUCGACACAUCCUGGUAGUUGCGUAAAAACUGUAAUCAGUUGGCACAAUAAUGCCUGUAGUUGCACAGCUUGUAGCCCUAGUUUGGCAUGUGGUCACAUGUUUCAAGUUGCAUAGUUUUACUUAUCUUGUUGCAUAGACGUGUGACAAUAGUUGGCGGAAAUUUCAAUUGCUGACUAAACUAGUUUUUGGUUUAGUUGCACAAAAUUCUACCCAGUUGGUUUCAUCCAUUUUUUAGUUGGCUGUUCACAUGUUCUGCACUUUGCAUUAGUUGUCUUCCCGUUUGUACUACGUUGGUUGUCUAUUAGUCUGCUUAGUUGUUGGUUGGCUAUCCUUAUGUUCUGCAGUUGUUUUGCAUAUGUUGUUCAGUUGCACAAGUUGGUAGAAUUUUAGGUAGACACUUUUCGGCAGUUGUGCAAAAGUUGUAAUUAGUUGGCACAAGAAUGCAUGUAGCUAUACAUCUUGUAGCUCUACUUUUCGGCAUGUGAUCAGAUGUUCAUUUUUGUAUGAGACAUCAUAUGUUUCAAGUUGGACAAUUUUACUUAUCUUGUUGCACAAAUGUGUGACAACAGUUGGCAGAACAUUUUCUUCAGGUGACCUUUUUUGGGUGCACUUUUUUUGGUUUUGUGCAGUUGCAUUCAUGUAGAAUCCUGUCUGCCCAGCAUUUUGUUGUAGUUGCACAAGUUUUAAAAUUCUAUUUUUCUUUCAACACAAUAUCUGCUUUGAUAACCUUGUCAUUUUCUUUUUCUCCUUUUUCACAUCAGCUUAAAGAGGAGUAGGGGCACGGAGCAGACACCGCUGUUUGGUGGUCUUUUGCAAGCUCAAGCAUUCGUUGCAUCCAAAUUACCACUAACGUACAAUCCCCAGGCAAGUCUUUUGCAUAAAUCAGUUUCAAUCAUGUACCAACAUUUCUUUAAAAAAACUGUUUAUAAUUGAAUGAGUACUCAAUUGUUUGAUGCAGAAAAAGGCAAAGAUUGCCGAAGUGGUCAAUGACUUGUGCAAGGCAGUAACUGAACAGGUUGGCACCUUCAUUGAAGCAGUUGCCAAGAUCGACGAUAAGGAACUGGAUGUUGAUCCAUAUGUACAACAGACAUCAACGGGAACCGCUCCGUCACGCCGUGCUCCAAAAAGGAAGAGACAGGUUUCACCUAUACCAGAAGAAGAAGAGUUCGAUGAUGAGGAGUCAGACGAAGAUGAUGAAAUGGAAGUAGCACAAGAUGUUGAAGACGACGGGGAGACAGAUGAUGAUGAUUCAGAGGAGGAGGACAAAGAGGAGGAUGACAAAGAAGAAGAGGAUGAUGAUGAGGAGGAGGAGGAGGAGGAAGAGGAGGAGGAGGACAAAGGAAAAGAGGACAAGGGAGAGGAGGAGGGCAAGGAAGAAGAUAUUGGUGCAGAGGAGGAGGAGGAACAUGAAAAUGUUGGUAAAGAAGGACAUGGAAACAAAGCUGCAGCAAUCGAUGGCAGUGAGGGGGAAGAAGAUGACGAGGAAGAUGACGAGGAUGCCAAUCCUGAUGAUCAACAGGGACACAAUGGAGGCAGUGACAGUUCAAAUGAUGAUGAUGACAAUGCCCCUGGUUCUGGUGGUACAGGGGGCAACACAACCAGAUCUGCACACCCUGCCAGCAGCAGCAACUCAGCAGGAGCUCACUAUAGAUGUUGAUUGACAAAACUUGCUGGAAAGACAAGAAUUUGCCAAAGUCAAAGAGAAAUGAUGAAGCGGAGUCUCAGGGCAACAUUGACAUGUUCAAGAUGUGCAACAUGAAGCCAACUUUGCCAACCACUUUCCCUGUGCUAGACGUCCAUGAGCGAGACUUGUGUGACAAGAUAGAUUUUGCUAUUGACCAAAAUAUGUUCUUCUUGAGUGAGGCUGAAAAGAAUCCAGUUGACAUGGAGGAAGCAGGGAAGGGUCUUGAUUGGGUUCAUUUAAAGGAGACAUACAUGGAAUAUUUGAAGCAGCUUCCUGAUAUCAGCUCCAGCAAGAGCAAGGCAGCAUCUCUGGCAAACCCUCAUGUGGUCCAGAAGAGCAAAGGAGUUACAAUGAAGAAGAAUCUGAAGUUGCCUCAAACCAAGCAACAGAUGCCGAGGGCAAAUGCAGAAAUAAAUGUGGACAAGGAAGCUGUGGCGCAAACUAUUGUGCCAACUGUAGUGAUCACAGAGCCAACCAACACUAAAGACGUGUCAGCAAUACCUGUUGAGCCUACAACCAUUACAUGAGUUCAACAGAUCAAGGGGAAGAUUCCUCUGUCAACAGCCCCACCUAAACCAGCUAAGCAGCAAAAGAUUGUCCAGUUUGCCAAGGGCACAAAGGAGGAAUAGGGCAGGAAAGGUGUGGGGUCCAGACAUGAGACAGAACAACGUGCCACAGCCAUCGUUGCAGGACUGCCAAGUUCUGCUAGUUUGGUGCCAACCUAGACUGCAAAGGUGCCAACUACAAUACCAGUGUACCAACUGAAGUGGUCACAGUCAAAACCAGCAGAGUUGUUCAGGAGGACUCAACUGCAACUCGAUCCCCAAGGUGACAAUUCAUAUUGAUUCUUCAAUGCCAAACACGGAAGGAGGUUGUCAAUCUGUCAAAGUGCCAUCUCCAAGAGCUACCACAGAGCAUCCAAGCAGGUCUGCAUCACCAAGAGCUGAUUUUCAUAACAGAUUAACACAAGAGGAGGUGUUCAACAUUGUAAGCAGGUGCAAGCCUCCUAGGCCGCCAACUACAACAUUACUGCGAACCAGAUCAGCGAGCGAUGCACAUGUGAAUGUUCCGCAAGAAGAUUCCCCUGGCCUUCAACCCAUAUGCAUAACAAAUUCUUGCAGCUAUCAUGGUGACGGGUACUGCGAUGCACCAACUUUUGACCUGGGCCUAGAUGAUGAUGUUGGGCAUGCUGCAGCACUUGCUCCAGCAGCACAAACAGGGGAAGCAAAUGUGGUUGUCAUAGACGAGGAUGAGUUGGACCUAGCAACAGCGAAGGAAGGAUGCGUAGCUGCUGAUGCUGGCAAGGGAUUAGCUCACCAGCCAGAUGUUGGAUCACUAGACAGCUGCCACACCCCGAUAUGCGAAGAACCAGCAGUUGGUACAAGCAGUUCUUCAGGACCACCUAUUGCACGAAGACAGAGGAGGGUUAUAAGGCCUCCAUUCAUUGUUUACAACAAAAAGAAGACCUUCAACUCCAAUGAGGCAGUCAACAAGCUUUAUGCUGCCAUUGUGUAUUGGGUCAGGCAUAUCACAUGAGCAGAUGAUGAGAAUACCAGGCAAGCCAACUCCCCACAACCCAUUUACAUAUCUUUUUUCAGUUGCACAAUACAACCUAUUUAGUUGCACAGGAAGCAAAGCAUGUUGCACAGAAUAGUGCUUUAAAUUGCGCACUCUUUGUUUUUUAAAAUUGCAAAGCAGAGUGGUGUAGUUGGGCAGGGCAGGGGUUUUGAGAUCUGCUUGUGAUUUCCCCUAGUUCUUGUUCAAGUUCUAUGUCGAGUUCAAGUUCUAUGUUGUUCUUCCCAGUUGGCUGCAACCAUAUAUUAGUUGGUUGUCCAUAUGCUCUGCUGUUGCACUAGCUGUCUUACUGUUUUGUACUAGUCGAUUGUAUACACGCUGUUCAGGCGCACAAGUUUUGCCUACUGAGUUGUCUGCAUCACUAAACUAGGUGGCUGUCCAUGUGUUCUACACUGGACACUAGUUGCCCUGCUUAGUUUGCUUGAUGUUUUGUGCUAGGUUGGCUUUCUACGUGUCGUUCAGUUUGCACAAGUUGCCUGAUUAGUUGGCUGCAUCCAUGUACUAGUUGGUUGUCCACAUGUUUUGCUUUUUUGUACUAGUUGUCAUUCUUUAGGUUUGUUCCUGUUUUGUAGUAGGUUGGUUGGCUAUAUGCUGUUGAGUUGCAGAAAGUUGCCAUGCUUCCUGUUUUGCAUUUCUUUUUGCCCUAGUCCUUUUGUUCAUCCCAGUUGCACAAAUUAUCAUACUCAACUGGUUGGCUUUAGUAAACUUUUUUCGACCUAGUUAUUUCUUGCCUUAGUGAAACUAGUUGACUUAUAAGCUGUGCAGUUGCACAAGGCUGACUGCCCAGUUGGCUGCAUCACUGUAGUAGUUGGUUGUCCUCAUGUUUUACAGUUUUUUUGCCUGGGUGGUACUAAGCACUAGGUGUCAUGUCUAGUUUGGCUUCCUGUUUGUACUAGGUUGGUUUGUCUAUUAGUCUGCUUAGUUGGGGGUUGGCUGUCUUUUUUUAGUCUACUAGAUGAUGAGAACACCAGACAAGCCAACUCCCCACAGCCUAUAUACAUAUCUUUUUUCAGUUGCACAGUACCACCCACUUAGUUGCACAGAAAGCAAAGCAUGUUGCACAGAACAGUGCUUUAAAUUGCAGACUCUUGUUUUUUUAAUUGCACAUUUUUUCCUUUCUUUAUGUGAUCCUUCAAGCUAACUUUGUCUUUCUUAUGCAGCCCUGAGAUAGUCAGGUAUGGUAAUUCUUCAUUUCUUUGAAGGAGUUAGUUGAUUCAAUGAAGCCAAAGCAGUGGCUUUCAAAAAAAAUUAUUGAGACUGGAAUCAUACACAUCAUGGCUAACUUGCCAGAAGGGCCAAAGAAAGUUGUCGUGCCACUGAGGUUUUCUAUAAGUUUUUCAAAAACUUUAUACACUCUUCCUUUUUUUGUAACAUUUUUGUUGACCAAUCAGGGAGUCUUUUUCAUACCCUAGUGCUUGAGGCAUGUUUAUAAUUUUUCUGCAGAUCAAUUUACAGCAGGGUAUCCACAAUACAAAUGAGAUAAACAAGAAGUUUGAACACAAGAAUCGUCUCGACAAGAAAGAUUUGGUGAGUGCUCUACCCACAUGAUCCAUCUCAUAUUUGGCACUCACAGCACGUUCAUUUGCACAUGACACAUCUAUUAGUUGGCAAAUACCUUCUGCCAACCUGUUUCAACUUUCACAUCUCAUUUCUGUAUCUGAAUCAUUCACACGUGCAGGUCAUGCUGCCAGUGCUUGAGUGCGAUAAUGUAAAUGACUGCAAAGGAGGCAGGCAUUAUUGGGUCUUCAACAUCAACCUAAGGGACGGACGUUUCGAAGUCCUUGAUUCAAACAGAAAGCUAGAAGAAAUCGACUUGAUGGACACCACCUCUACGAUUGCAGGGGCAGUACGCCAGCUAUGGAGGAAGCAUUACCCAAAACAGAGCAUCGAGCACUUCCAGAUUGUUGACAUCGAUGUACCGAAGCAGAUUAGCAAGUAGGACAAGAAGCAUUACAUUCUUCUUCAUUUUUUUCAAUCAAUCUGUAGUCUUUUAAAAUUUCCUACUUGUACAAUCUUUAGUUUUUCAAGACACAAAACUAGUUUGCAAUCUGUUUUUCAUUAUUAUGACUUUCUCAGUUGAACAUCAGUAGUUGCACAGUGCCACAUAAUUAGUUGCACAGUGCCACAUAAGUAGUUGCACAUUAACACAUAACUAGUUGCAUAGUGCCACAGAGUAUAUUGUCUUAUUGGUUUUAAAAGCCUCCAACAUUUUUUUCUUUUUCCCCACUGCAGCAAUGAGUGUGGUCUGUUCGCACUGCUUAACACCACUGAGUGGAACGGGAGCCUACUGCCCAACUAUGAGCCCAAGGAAGUACUCAACAUCAUGAAGAAGCUGGCAUAUGAUUGGGUCACCAGCCCGCACAACUCUGCCCCAUGGAGGAAGGUGCUGAGAUACGAAAAGGACUAGGUCAGUACACUUUUUUAUUAUUUUGCCAUUUUUUGAUGCCUUGCAGGUUUGCACAAUUUUUAUAAACAUUUUGUAGUUGCAUACUAGUAGUAUUUCUUUUGCAACUCAAUGUCAUCACUUUUGUUCACACACUACGAGAACUAGGCAUACAAUUGUUCAACAACUAAAUAUUAAAUGAUUUGCCAACAAAGGCACAAAUAGCAACCAUUUUUACAUAGUGCAUUAACUAAUUCAAUGAAAACAACUUAGAGAGGAGAAAGCAUAGUUGCUGUAUGUGUCCACUUUUUUGCCCCCUAAAUUGCUCAAAAAGCAUCAUUCUUUUUCUUUUUCCCUUUUUUGAUACAACCGAUACAAGAGAAUCACAGCAGCCUGAGUGGACACACACCAACAGUGUGCUCUGUAGAUUGGCAGUGGCUGCAUUUAUUUUUCUUCUUUGGGUGUAGCUCUAGCGCAGAUUUGUACCGUCGACUCUUCGCCCUACCCUUUGUAGUAGACCUUGGAGGAUCCCUAGGCACAAAACCAUCAUAGGCUUGUGCUGGGGAUGGAGCCUCCAACUGGGCAGGACCAUCACGAGCUUGUGUUUGAUCACCUUGGAGGAUCCCUAACCACGACUGAUGUUCUCUGCAACCACAUAGCUUAUGAUGUGCAACUAAUUGGUUGCUGUGUGCAAAUUAAGUUAAAAAUAAAACCUGUAGUAGCACGGCCCGUCAUGCCACUUGGUUGGUAAUCACCUGUAGCUAGAAUAGGAAAAAGCAGUUAGUUGAUUUAUCUUGAUGCUCAAAAUAACAUAGCGUGCGCAACUGGGUAGCAUGUUCUGUGCAACUGCGCACCAUGAUGUGUGCAACUGUAAUCACACACCUAGUUAGAUGGGGGUGUUGGGAAGGUAAUUACCUGGAUGAUCAGGCCCGUGAGUACUCCCUGUAGGGCCAUUGGGAGGAGCACGCGGGGCACUACUUGUUGGAACAGGCGGGGGAGGAGGUGGUGGACCAUGUUGUGUAUUGCCUGGACGUGGAGGAGGUCCUCGAGUGUUGCCAUCAACUAUAGCCAGAACAGGAAAAACCAGUUAGUUGUUUUAUCUUGAUGCUCAUAGCGUGCGCAACUGGGUAGCAUGUUCUGUGCAACUAGGCACCAUGAUGUGUGCAACUGAAAUCUCACACCUAGUUAGAUGGGGGUGUUGGGCAGGUAAUUACCUGAAUUAUGAGGCCCAUGAGUACUCCCUGUAGGGCCAUUGGGAGGAGCACGUGGGGCACUGCUUGUUGGGCCAGGCGGGGGAGGAGGUGGAGGACCAUGCCGUGUAGGGCCUGGAGGUGGAGGAGGUCCUCGAGGGUUGCCAUCAUCUGAUGGCCCCGUGGAAGCAGUUGGUUUUUCUUUUUCUUGGACUUGUUCAAGUGGCCGAUCUCGGUACGUGCUGCACGCAUAUGCUUGUAUACAAUAGCUUGUGCUGGAUCAGAACCACUCGCCAACUUUGCUAGUUUCCGAAAAUCGUAUAUCAUGUUCCUCUCCCUUAUCUGUUUCUUUGAUUGAGGAGACAUUUCAUCUGGCUGCUCAUAACCAGUCCCUGGCGCACUAGGCGCAGCAGUAGGUGUCCACCGUCUUAGCAGGUACCUUUCCGGUAUGAGAUCAACUCCAAUAUGAGUGAACACCUUGAGGAUGUGGCAACAUAGGAUGUCGUCCUUGUCCAUUUUACAGCACUCACACAAAUAGGAACCAUCCUCCACCCUUGCCUGCACCAAGUAGUUUCGAGGACCAUAUUUGGCAACAAAUUCCUGGUUCGGUUUGAGCUCAAAUAUAUCAGCACCAACUUGGAAUGUAUUAUAAUGGCCAAUCAGCUCAAACUCUUCUCUAAACUUGCGGUAAAGGUCCCUAGUGUAGGUCUUGUAAGCUUGCUUCUCUAUUGGGAAGUUGGACCACAACUCAAUCUCAAGGUGUUCUAUCCUAUAAUCAUUGCAGCCUUCCUUGGCAAGGAUGUGGUUCUAAAUUUUUUCAUAUUGCUUGAUGAAGUUCAGCAUCGAGUUGUGUGGGUUCACAUAUCUUUUUAGGACGGCGUUGAACCCCUCACUACGCUGUGUAGACUGCAAGAAGGGGAAGAACAUGUGUUUGAAGUAGCAAGGCACCCAAGUUGACCUGUAUUCGUACAACUUCUCAAAGUGUGUGUGUGUGUGUGUGUGUGUGUGUGUGUGUGUGUGUCAUAGCCUUGUACUUCAUCAUUAGCCCAGCCCAAUUCUGUUCAAACUCGUCUGGAAUGAAGCUGAAGUCAACACAGUAGUUGAAAUCAUCAGAGAGCCCUGGAUUCCGGCACAACAACCAACCAACUUUUUCCUGGGCCUUCUUCAUGAUGUGCCAUCGACAACAUCGAUGCACGGUGGUUGGAAAGAUGCUCUGUAUUGACUGCCUCAUUGCACCAUCUUGAUUGGUUAUGAAGUUGCUUGGAGGUUUGCCACCCAUAGCUUCUAGGAAUGUCUGGAAUACCCAAUCAAAGCUUGAUGCCAACUCCUGCCUCACAAACGUGCAACCGAGCAUGAAAGAUUGGCCAUGUCUGUUUAUUCCAAUGAAGGGUGCGAAUGACAUAUUAUACAUGUUGGUCAUGUAGGUAGUGUCAAAUGAUACGCAGUCGUGGUACGCCUCAGCAUAAGGUUUUCGAGCUAAGCCAUCCACCCAAAAUAUGUUAACAACUAUGUCCUCUUCAUCAUAUUUUACCUUAUAGAAGAAGUCUGGAUCGGUUUUCUGUAUAUCCUUGAAGUGCGCAAUUGUCUCAAUCAUGUCACCCUCCUUUGUGUCAUCUCUACGGAAACUUGUACACACAUUUGUUAUUGUCGUUGGUCCGAACGGCACCAUCAUCUCAGAUCCGUAGAACUCUGCCAUUAUAUGCAUCAUACGUCCUGCAUAAUACAAAAGCAAAAUAGUAUAUCCUUUUUUUAGUUGCACGAAUGCGCACAUCCAGCUGCAUAGUAAUAGAACAUGUAUUGGCAUAGAAGAUAAUUGCAGGAAAUGGACACCUAGCUGCACCUUUUUAAAAACACUUUGCACUUUUUUGCAUACAGGACAUUGUGUAGUUGCACAGUGAAGGCAAUCUAGUUGCACAACAAGCACCAAAAGUGAUAUACAGACAGCAUCGGAAGUUGGACACCAGUUGCACAGUUAAGUCAUUUCAGUUGCACAAUAGUACCAUCACAGUUGCACACUGGACUGCCUAGAGGGAAACUUAAUUCUUUAAGGGAUAUAGAAACAACACACCUGUAGUCAAGUUGCAGUUAUACAAGAUGCGCAAAAACUCCUUUUCAUCAGGUGAGAUGCCUUGGUGGGAUCUCAAGUAUUUGGACAGUGAAGGUUUGUUCACGAGCGGAUGAUUGUGGUCACGAACAAAGUGCGUCACCUCCCAUCGCCCAUCUAUCAGCUUCACCAACAUUUUCGCCUUGCAUUGACACUACUAGGGAAAAGGCUAGCAGCAGCGCGGGUUUUUAGGCUAGUAGCAGCGCGGGUGGCCGCGCUACUAAUAAGGCGCUACAGCUAACUCAUAGUAGUAGCGCGGCCCCAACCCGCGCUACUAUUAACUAGUUGUAGCGAUUUCGCCAUCCCUCGCUACUGCUAUAUCUUUCAUCAUUUUCCCACUGCCCCAUUCCCUUUCAGUUCUCCUUUCAGAUACUAGAUACUAGGUACUGCUAGUAGAUAUCAAAUUCAUAAACCAUUACUAGGUACGGUAGUACUCCCUUCGUUCCAAAUUACUCGUCGUGGUUUUAGUUCAAACCACGACGAGUAAUUUGGAACGAAGGGAGUACUAGAUAACAAUUUCAUGCAUAGCCAACAUGCAUCCUCAAGCAGUACAAGUUCAUAUCAACGGCCAUCAUCAUAUGUAGUUCUAGAUGAUAUCGACGACGAUCAUCAUAUGUAGUUCUAGAUGAUAUAGCCACACACACAUAUGUAGUUCUAGAUGAUAUAGCCACACACACAUAUGUAGUUCUAGAUGAUAUAGCAACACACACAUAUGUAGUUCUAGAUGAUAUAGCCACACACACAUAUGUAGUUCUAGAUGAUAUCGAAGACAAUCAUCAUCCUCAAGCCUGGGCGGUUGGUGUUCCUGAUAGUAAAUAGGAUGGCCUGUCCAACACGAAGAUUCUUGCCAUCAAGGAAUUUCUUCCACCCAACCGAGUUUAAGUGUGUGCGACCGUCCGUGUCCACGCGGUAAGUACAGGUUGUGACGGAGCCCCUUGCAGUAAGGUGUAGUCCAGCUGAGCCUUCUUCAUCAGGCUCGAUACCAUAACUCACAGAUAUGCUCUUUGCCAAUUUCUGAAUAAGAGAAACAUAUCAAUUAUAAGCAUGUGAUCGAACUCUACACUAAAACAUAUAUAUCAUCGACUAGAUUCCACACAACAUACCAUAUCAUUGGACUGUACACUAAGUAAUUCACACUAUUAAUUUGCAUUUGUAAGUAUAACAUACCAUAUCAUGUCGAUCAACCAUGGUAUUUGUCAAGCGGGUCACGAAUGGCACCCCGACAAAGUCAGCACGUGGCGGAAUGAUGUCCCACAGGUUGGACACCUCCUCCUCACUCAGCCUUGUUCUUUGAGCUACGAUGGCUUCAUGAAGUGGGUCCUCAUCAUCUUCAUCGAGUGGGUCCUCAUUAUCUUCAUCAUCUUCAUCAUCUUCAUCAUCUUCCACCAGGUUGAUAUAAAUGAUAGCUAGCUUGGGUCUUUCUGCUCGGAAGUUGAAGCUGAUCAACUCAACACCAGUAAGAUGCAUGCGAGCGACGAAACGGGCCCAUCCAUCUCCUCCAAUCUGCGACAUAUUGCGUCCUUUCUCGACCUCCAUAGUGUACGGCCCCCCAGGAGCCUCAAAUGUCACAGUGUCUCCUGUCAGCUUGUUGAAUUUCAACCUCACAUUGACGAUCUGUGUAAAAUAAGCAAAAUGACACAAUGCAGUAAUGCCAACACUAAAAAUAAAAUAGUUAUUACAUUUCAUCUAAUUUCUUACCGCCGCAUGACGAAAACUCGGCUGGAAGUAGAUGCCGAACAGCUUGCCAGUUGCAAGGCUGCUGGCACAUCUUGACUUGCACAGUUGACAUAGUGGUGGUGGUGGUGGCGCCAUUCUUCCUAAAGCAAUAUGAGCAAAGGAUUACUAGAUCAAUUAAAUCAAAAUGUUCUAAGUCAACUAAAUCAACUAGCCUACUAAAUCAACUAAAUCAAAAUGUUCUAAGUCAACUAAAUCAACUAGCCUACUAAAUCAACUAAAUCAAAAUGUUCUAAGUCAACUAAAUUAACUAAAUGAAUUAGCCUACUAAAUCAACUAAAUCAAAAUGUUCUAAGUCAACUAAAUCAACUAGCCUACUAAAUCAACUAAAUCAAAAUGUUCUAAGUCAACUAAAUCAACUAGCCUACUAAGUCAACUAAAUUAUAUCAACUAAAUCAAAAUGUUGCAUAUGAGCAGGAGGAGGGAGAAGGAGGGCGACUCAAGGAGGGAGAAGAGAGUAGGAUGGAGGAGGAAGGCAGAGCGAGGAGGGGCCGGCCGGCACGGCCAGUUGAGGGAGGACGGAGGAGGAAGGCGGAGCGAGGAGGGGCCGGCCGGCGCGGCCAGUUGAGGGAGGACGGAGGAGGAAGGCAGAGCGAGGAGGGGCUGGCCAGCGGCGAGUGGAGAGGGAGGACGGAGGAGGAGGCCGGUACCGAGUCCAGCAAGGAGGAGGAGGUGACGGCGCGCGGCACAGACGGAGGAGGGGCGACGGGGGCGCGCGGCGCAGACGGGUCGGAGAGGAUUUUGAGUGGCUGUGUGUGUGAGUGGAUCCGAAGGGAGGAGAUGAGGGAGAUGAAUGGCUUAGCAGUAGCGCUCUUCAGGAAAAGACGCUACUGCUAAGCUAUCUAGCAGCAGCGCCUUUCACAGUAAAGCACUACUGCUAUGUGUCAGCAUGCAAAAAUAGACUUUGUUCAAUAUAUCAAAAACACAUUGAUCAUCAACGAUCUUUUUGUGUACAAUCUGAUUUGACAAUAUGAGUCCUCACCGGUUUAGGAACAGGUGAAGACUCAUAUUGCAGCCACAAAUUCUACACAUAGAGUUCAAUGAAGAUCAAGUGCUUGUCAAAGUGUGAGAAAUAACAUAUUUAAGGUGGUAGAAACUCUCUUCACGGAGCGAGGUGGGACUAAAUUUUUGUAGAAAACUUAGCAGUAGCGCUUAUCCGAAAAAUGCGUUGCUACUAUGCCACGUAGCAGUAGCGCGCAUCACGCUAACGCAUUGCUGCUAUAACUAGCCUCACGGCGGCCUCGUAGGAAUUAUAGCAGCAGCGCGUCUUUCGGGUGACGCGCUACUGCUAUAUUUGUCUCAGCAGCGAGUUUCGUCUGUACGCGCUACUGCUAGUUAGCAGCAGCGAGUUAUUUUGAAGCGCGCUGCUGAUAAGAUUAUGUGUAUAGGCUUUUCCCUAGUAGUGUGAGUCUGCUUUAUUGUCUCGCGUUUUCGUUUCUUCUUCUUCUUACUAGGACCAACCUCCUCUUCAGCAAAGAUUGGAGGUUCAUCUUCCAUUUCCUCAUCACUGUCAACAGUUUUUAGAUCUGGAAUAGGGUCCAGGAGAGGAGGAGCCUCAGCUCCUCCAUCAUCAGCUUUGGGCUUCUUGAACUUGUUGCAGCAAAACUGUUGUUUUACCAAUACAUUAGUGUGGGGUGUCCGCCUAGAGGUGUUCAUCUUGACAGAGAAACCCAUCUGUAGUGCAUAGCUGUUGUAGUGAUCCUUAGCAAUUUGAAGGCUGUCAAACCUCAUGCCAACAUAGGGUUCCAUAGGUUGAGAACCAGCCUCAUCCUCUCCUUCUUCUCCUUGCACAGCUCCGUCAACAGCGCCAACUCCUAGAUCAGUCCUGGUUGGACCAGGAACAUUUGCCACGGUUCCCAUGUCAUCAAGAGUAUGGCUCUCUGACUACAAAGACACCACUACAGGGGCACCACGAGUUGAUGACUGGCCUGCCACAUUGUCAUGGCUCAUAGGGUUACCACCACGACUUGCCUGCGUGUAGUAAAUGAUACGUCUCCAACGUAUCUAUAAUUUUUGAUUGUUCCAUGCUAUUAUAUUACCCCUUUUGGAUGUUUAUGGGCUUUAUUUUACACAUUAUUUUCAUUUUUGGGACUAACCUACUAACCGGAGGCCCAGCCCAUAUUGCUGUUUUUUUUGCCUAUUUCAGUAUUUCGAAGAAAAGGAAUAUCAAACGGAGUCCAAACGGAAUGAAACCUUCGGGAGCGUGAUUUUUGGAACAAACGUGAUCCGGAGAGCUUAGAGUGCAAGUCAAGAAGCUUCUGAGGGCCCCACGAGAUAGGGGGUCGCGCCCCCUAUAGGGUGCGCCCCCUGUCUUGUGGGCCCCUCGGGCGGCCACCGACGCACUUCUUCCUCCUAUAUAUAACUACGUACCCCGAAAACAUCCAGGAGCACCACAAAACACAAUUUCCACCGCUGUAACCUUCUGUAUCCGCGAGAUCCCAUCUUGUAGCCUUCGCCGGCACUCUGCCGGAGGGGGAAUCAACCACGGAGGGCCUCUACAUCAACAUCCUUGCCCCUCCGAUGAGUUGUGAGUAGUUUACCACAGACCUAUGGGUCCAUAGUUAUUAGCUAGAUGGCUUCUUCUCUCUUUUUGGAUCUCAAUACAAUGUUCUCCCCCUCUCUUGUGGAGAUCUAUUCGAUGUAAACUCUUUUUGCGGUGUGUUUGUCGAGAUUCGAUGAAUUGUGGGUUUAUGAUCAAGUUUAUCUAUGAAUAAUAUUUGAAUCUUCUCUGAAUUCUUUUAUGUAUGAUUGAGUUAUCUUUGCAAGUCUCUUCGAAUUAUCAGUUUGGUUUGGCCUACUAGAUUGGUUUUUCUUGCCAUGGGAGAAGUGCUUAGGUUUGGGUUCAAUCUUGCGGUGUCCUUAUCCAGUGACAGAAAGGGUUGCAAGGCACGUAUUGUAUUGUUGCCAUCGAGGAUAACAAGAUGGGGUUUAUAUCAUAUUGCAUGUGUUUAUACCUCUACAUCAUGUCAUCGUGCUUAAUGUGUUACUCUGUUCUUAUGAACUUAAUACUCUAGAUGCAGGCAGGAGUUGGUCGAUGUGUGGAGUAAUAGUAGUAUAUGCAGGCAGGAGUCGGUCUACUUGUUAUGGACGUGAUGCCUAUAUACAUGAUCAUGCCUAGAUAAUCUCAUAACUAUGCGCUUUUCUAUCAAUUGCUCGACAGUAAUUUGUUCACCCAUCGUAAUACUUAUGCUAUCUUGAGAGAAGCCUCUAGUGAAACCUAUGGCCCCCUGGUCUAUCUCUUAUCAUAUUUGCUUUCAAUCUACCUUUAUUCGCAUCUUUACUUUUUGCAUCUAUCUUAUAAAAUACCAAAAAUAUAUUUAUCUUAUCAUACUAUCUUUAUUAGAUCUCACUUUCGCAAGUGGCCGUGAAGGGAUUGACAACCCCUUUAUUGUGUUGGUUGCGAGUUCUCAGUUUGUUUGUGUAGGUGCGUGGGACUUUUGAGGAGCCUCCUACUGGAUUGAUACCUUGGUUCUCAAAACUGAGGGAAAUACUUGCGCUACACUUUGCUGCAUCACCCUCUCCUCUUCGAGGAAAACCAACGCAAGCUCAAGACGUAGUAGUAAACAGAUCACCCAUUUUCUGUCCAAUUUCCUUGUGCUAUGUUGGGUUGCUGAUGAUCCAUAUCAUGAGGAAGCUCAUUGAGAUUAGGAGGCAACUCAUUGAGAUCAAGCAUUUUUUUUUCCUUUUUUGGAUGCUGCCACACACUCCCUGCACAUAUAAAAAAGAGGAAAAUGAUCUCAUCAGUUGUUAACCACAGAAAAGAGUGUUUCAAACAACCUACUUAGUAAAUAGGCAGUUGCACACCAUUUUAUGACAAUCUUAGUUCCAAAAGCAACAUGACUGUAGCAUAAUCUUUAUUAUAACAGUUAUGCAUUUUUUUGUUUGCACAGAGUUGUUAUGUUAGUUGCACAGUUUGCAGUAAAUAGCUGGCAAGAACAUGACUUCUUUUUACUGCAGAGUUUUCUGACUUUUUCCCUCUGUUUGUUGCAAUAAUCUGCAGGUUUUUUUUGGCAAGGAGAUCUUUCAGAUUUUUCUGCACAUAAUUUGAUGUUACAUUUGAGACGGAAAAUCUAGGUGAAAGACGAAAGAAGAAUUGGAUGACAGAUUAUAGUUAUAUGUUUUCAUCGCCGUUUAUGUUUUUACUUCUGGUAUAUUGAACAUAUUUUUACACUAUAGCUUUGCAAUAGGUGUGGGACUGGAAUAUAUGUGUGGGACAAGAUUAUAUGCGUGAAUAUUUUAAUAUGGUUUGUGUCUUCAUUAGCUAUGGACAAAAGUUCUUGUGUUUUUGCUGUCGUACUAUAAAUUUCUGGUUUUCGCUAGAAUAGAUGUCUCAAUUGUCAGGAUGCAUUUUUUCAGUUGACCAGCAUACAUAUUCAGUUGGACAGUCAAUGUGUUUCGUUGGCUAGAAUAGAAGUCUCAGUUGGCCAGGAUGCAUUAUUUCAGUUUUGGCCACCAUGCAUGUUCAUUUGGAUAGUGUAACACCCCAACGGACACAGCGCUUGGAAUAUUACCACAUAACACCUUCGAAAUGAAAACAUGCCCUCAAAAGAAUUUCGGCAGAGUUUCCUCUAUUUCUAAGGACACCCACGACAUGCAAUUCAUAUAGUAUAUAUAUCGCAAAGAACUAGCACCGGUGUAAAGCACAAGGCUACAAUACCAUAACCGAGAACAUCCUCGGUAACUUUAGGCGAUAGCGUUAGUCUUAAGGGGAAAUUAGCUAAGCCAUACAGACCAAGAGGGUAUCUCUCCAAUUCAAGAUGAACCACCACAGGUAGUAAAGUACAACUAUACUAGGUUCUCAAAACACGGUCCUAAAGGACAAUAGGUGUGAGUUCCGUGAAGUGAAAACGGUGAAGAUGCUACUCCCAAGACUCCCAUGCAUGUCGUCCUCAGGAUUUACCUAAAACAAAUAAGCAACAAGGAUGAGUACAAAGACUCAGCAAGUACAUCCAUGAAUAGUAAGCAUUACAUAUGUCAAGAUACCAAAUCUCUAUUAAGCACCAUACACUCAUCAGCAAUCAACACGUGUAUUCAUGACUUACGUGCCUACAUGCUCAUCUCAUUUCAUUGCGUAUACCGGUAUCGCUCGAGUCGACGCCCGUCGACAUCCACUCACUCCAACUUGUGGAGGUUGCCUCCACAGUAGGUCGCAACCCAACAAUGGAGGUCUCAAUGUGCCUACCCAAGGUAGGGAACUCUUUCUUUCACGAUCAUCAUGUAUGCAAAUAUGCAAAUGCAAGCAAAGAACUUGAAUCAACAUGUCUUUGUCAUCGUCAUCUCCAUCACAAUAAACAUCAUAGACAUGGGCGAAUAUCAAGAUACAAAAGAAGUGCAGAGGAUAUGCAACGUCGUUAUCCUGUCAUGAACUUGCCUCAACCGCGGGGCACAACUUGUGGGUUAAAGGAUCCUGAACCAGAAGUACCAACACCUGUAAACAGGCAUAUAUCACAACCAAUACAAAAACAUGGACUUAACUUCUAAGCAUAUAUAAUUCAGCUUCGCUCCUACGCAUAAGACCCAGUGCAUAUCAAUCAACAUUGAUGAAAUCUGAGAAUAUAUACUUGUUCCUCUACCCAAGUCCAUACAUUAAAAUUCUGUCCAACAUAGUACAGCCCACCUUGAUAACUUCAUAGGUUUUAAUAUACCAAACAAAAUAUAAUAAAUGAUAUGUGUUUAAUCAUCUACAGAACAGCAUCUACAAAUAUCAUGUUAUAACUUUAUUUUAAUUCCACAUUUAACAGGUCCUAAUCUCCCAAAUGAAAAUACUGUACGCAGAAAACUGUAUUUCUGGACAGCAAACCAAAUAGACGGCUGCUCUCAAACCGUACAUCCAAACGAGGCAAUUAAGUACUCCACGGAAACCUUAGAACAUGCUUUACAAAUCAUAUGUAGAGCCCAACUCAAAAUUCUAAGCAUAACUAUCCCGUUUUUCACCUAGAAGCUGGCUAUCCAGAUCUGACAGUUCAGUUCUUGUGUAGUUUAUGUGCAGUAUUAACCGAACCAAGUUCAGUUUACAAGGAGAGAUACCCAACGCUCCAGAUUUUACAUGGAAGCAAUCAACACCUCGCAAAAAUAUAGAUGGGCUAUCAUCCCCAAUUGAUUUGGUUAAUCAAAGGAACUAACAAAGAGAAGGUCCAGCCUGGGUGUCAAUACCAAAUAGCUAAAAGCAUGGAGAUCACCAAUGAAUUUGCAAAUUGGUUCAGGAAUCCCUUUCCAAAUCCCGAAUCUAAUUCUAAACUAUCAACUGCUACCCAAAUCCCUAAUUAUGACCUAGGAGGCACCAUAGAAAAGGAGAACUGGGACGUACUGCUAGCGACAUGACGCCCAGCAGCCACCCCUGCUCAGCAACGACCACGGAGAGGAGAUGCGUCGGGGAGAGCAGCAACCUCGCAGCUCACGGCGGCGGCAACCACCACCAGCAGCAGCGACGGCAGCAGCCUCUGUUGGGAAGACCAGAGGAAGGCUUUGGUGAGGGGUAACAGGAGAGAAACAGGAUUUGGGCGCAGCGUACAGCGGCGCAAGGAGCGACCGAUGGCUACGCCAAGUCUGACUGGGCCUUGAGCCCAUAUAGGAUUUUCUUUCCUCUCGUUUUGGAAGGCUUAAAGAGCUAAAAUCUGCUAUUUAGUCAAAAGCACCACAUAGGCCAACUGGUAUUCAGCCUACUACUGAGAGGUCCAAGGUUCAAAUGCCAACACGCCUCUUCCAUUUAUUUCCCAUAGUCUCUCUCUCUCUCUCUNNNNNNNNNNNNNNNNNNNNNNNNNNNNNNNNNNNNNNNNNNNNNNNNNNNNNNNNNNNNNNNNNNNNNNNNNNNNNNNNNNNNNNNNNNNNNNNNNNNNNNNNNNNNNNNNNNNNNNNNNNNNNNNNNNNNNNNNNNNNNNNNNNNNNNNNNNNNNNNNNNNNNNNNNNNNNNCCUUUUCCUAUUUUAUAUCAUAGUCUACAAAUAUCGACUUUACCUUAUUCAUCUAUAUAUUUAAGCAUAUUGGCACAAUCAAUUAGCAAAAGAAAUCUGGGGCAUUACAGAUAGUUAAUGUGUUCAGUUGGCUAGAAUAGAUGUUUCAGUUGGCCAGGAUACAUUUUUUCAGUUUUGGCCAACAUGCAUGUUUAGUUGGCUAGAAAACAUGUUCUUAUUGCACAUAUACUACAUGUUUUCUAAAGUGUCCACUCACAAAUAUCCAGUGCAUGUGGGGUACAAUGCAUGUUUUAGUCAUGUUUUAAUUGGCCAGAGAACUUGUCUUAGUUGGCUUGUUUAACACAUCCAGGCGGUAGAAGCUUGCUUGGGAUGCAUCAUAUUCAGUAAAGUUGGUCUCAAACCAUGUUUAAUGUGCAACUAGGCAGCUGUGCAACAAAACCUAAAUGACUUGUGUUUAGUUGCACAACCCAGGAAAUAGUAGGCUUCCACCCAUGGUUAGUUGCAUAGUAAUUCGUGGUAGUUGUUUUCAGUUGCAAUAUGUCAUUCAUGGGGGGGAGGGGGUGGAGGGUGGUGUGAUGUGCCAGAUUCACCUCUUUUUUGAAGCAGCUUCUCCAUGGAUUUGUGCUAGAUCCAUGGAGAAGAGGGUUUACAUAUGCCUACAUAUAUGCAGUAGAAGAAAGUGGGAAGUGAAGAGGGGUAGAGGGGCAAAGUGGAUUCAUGGUAGUUGUUUUCAUCUAUAUAUUUAAGCAUAUUGGCAAAAUCAAUUAGCAAAAGAAAUCUGGGGCAUUACAUUAUCACCCCCUUAAGCAGAAUUCGACCUCGAAUUCUUCACCACAUUACUACUCAGAAAGCGGGCAUAACUGAUAACUAAGAAAUGGAAUGAAAACCAGACACCACGUACCGGUCUCGAACAAUUCCGGAUACUUUUCCCGCAUGCGUGACUCAAGCUCCCAAGUCGCCUCACGCUCGGAUUGUUGCGACCAGAGAACCUUCACAUACUUGAGCGUCUUAUUCCUCAACACUCUCUCAGACUUCUUCCAAUAUCCUCACAGGGCGAACCUCAAAGGUAAGAUCUUGCUCAAUUGUAAUUGGCUCCACAGUCAAUUGUCGUUCGGGAUCUCGGAAGUACUUACGUAGCAUGGAUACAUGGAAUACGUUAUGCACACCUUUCAUUGACUCAGGCAACUCAAGACGAUAGGCUAGUUUCCCUACUCGUGCCACUAUUAAGAAGGGUCCAAUGUACCGUGGGCUAAGCUUUCCUUUGAUAUUGAACCUGAUAACACCCUUGGUUGGUGAGACUCUCAGAAGUACCUCUUCUCCUUCCUGAAACUCCACAUUGCGCCUCUUGGGGUCGGCAUAGCUCUUUUGCCUACUCUGGGCUGCUAGCAUAUGGUGUCUAAUUUCAGCUAUUCUGUCUGUAGUUCGUUGAACCCAAUCUGGUCCCAGCACUGCCUUCUCGCCCACUGCAUUCCAACAUACUAGAGACCUACACUUUCUUCCAUACAAGGCCUCAUAAGGUGCCAUUCGAAUGCUAGCUUGAUAACUAUUAUUGUAAGCAAACUCCACAAGUGGUAGAUGAUCCUCCCAGCUCCCUUGCCACAAUAGGAUACAACAUCGCAACAUAUCUUCUAAAGUUUGGAUGGUACGCUCUGACUGACCAUCUGUUUGGGGAUGAAAUGCCGUGCUAAUCCUCAACUGUGUACCCAUUGCACUCUGCCAGCUCUCCCAGAACCUUGAUACAAACUUGGCAUCUCUGUCAGAAGUAAUAGUUUUUGGAACUCCGUGCAAUCUUACUAUCUCACGCACAUAUACCGGUGCCAAGUCACUUGCUGAGUUUGUGGUACGGAUAGGAAUAAAAUGAGCCACUUUGGUAAGUCGGUCCACCACCACCCAAAUUGCAUCCUUUCCCCUUCGGGUGCGAGGUAGGCCAACAACAAAAUCCAUGGCGACAUCAUCCCAUGGCCACUCUGGAACCUCUAAGGACUGCAACAAACCCGCGGGUCUCUUAUGCUCAGCCUUCACGAGCUGACAGACCCCACAAGAAGCCACAUACUUUGCCACGUCAACUUUCAUCCUUUUCCACCAAUAAGUCUUCAAGUCUUGGUACAUCUUUGUCUCUCCAGGAUGAACUGUGUAUGGGGUACGAUGUGCUUCUCUCAGAAUAUCCUCCUUAACAUGGGACUUUUGUGGCACACAAAGGCGGCCGUGAAACCGAACCGAUCCAGUCCCAUCUAGAGUGAAAUCUCCGGUUUUACCUUCUUGGAUGCGCUCCCGCACCUGCAACAACAACCGGUCAUUCUGUUGUGCUUCCCUCACUCUGUCUGGGAUAGCUGAUUGAAGGAUGAAUUGUGUCUCCUCAUGUGCUACACCGGCAAAACAAUAUGAGAUGCUCAUCCGCUCAAAAUCAGCAAUGUGGCAACCUAAAGUGGGAGGGACAAUCUUGCGGCUAAGAGCAUCCGCAACCACAUUUGCUUUGCCAGGGUGGUACUGGAUUGAGAGGUCAUAGUCCUUUAUCAAUUCUAACCAUCGUCUUUGCCGUAAGUUUAGCUCCUUUUGAGUGAAGAUAUAUUUGAGACUCUUAUGAUCAGUAAAAAUAUCACAAGAUUCUCCGUAAAGAUAAGGCCUCCAUAUCUUGAGUGCAAAGACCACAGCUGCAAGCUCUAGAUCAUGUGUAGGGUAGUUCUGCUCAUGCUUUUUCAGUUGCCUAGAAGCAUAGGAAAUUACCUUGCCAUCUUGCAUGAGAACGCACCCAAGACCAAUCCAAGAAGCAUCAGAGUACACUGUGAAGCGUUUCCCAGGUUCAGGUUGAGUGAGAACAGGCGCGGUUACCAAUCUAUUCUUUAGCAUUGAGAAACUAUUCUCACAUUCAGCAUCCCACCAAAAUUUCACAUCCUUUUGUGUUAGCUUGGUCCUUGGCUUGGCGAUAAUAGAGAAAUCUUUCACAAACCUCCGAUAGUAACCAGCUAAACCCAAGAAACUUCUUACUUCUUUGACAUUAGAUGGUCUUGGCCACUCUACAACUGUAGAAACUUUACUAGGAUCAACUGAGAUUCCUUCUUGGUUGAUAACGUGUCCUAGAAAAGCCACUUCAGAAAGCCAAAAUUCACAUUUCUUUAGCCUUGCAUAAAACUUAUUCUUCCUCAGGGUUUCAAGAACAAGCCUCAAGUGGCGCUCAUGAUCUUCCUCUGUCUUUGAAUAGAUAAGAAUGUCGUCGAUGAAAACAACCACAAAGUCAUCAAGGAACAUAUGCAGCAUGCUGUUCAUCAUCUCCAUGAAGAUGGCAGGGGCAUUUGUUAGUCCAAAGGACAUAACUUUGAAUUCAUAGUGCCCAUACCUAGUGGAGAAAGCAGUCUUUUCAAUAUCUUGUUCACGCACACGAAUUUGAUUAUAGCCAGACUGCAGAUCAAUCUUGGAGAACACCUUAGCUCUCUUUAGUUGAUCAAACAAAUCUUGAAUGCAAGGUAAAGGAUACUUAUUCUUGAUGGUCACGGCAUUAAGGGCACGAUAGUCCACACACAUACGCCAACUACCAUCCUUCUUAAGUAUGAACAACACAGGUGCUCCCCAGGGUGACACACUACGCCGAAUCAACCCUUUGGAUAACAUAUCAUCCAACUGUUUCUUUAAUUCUUCUCGAAGUGGGCGUGCCAAUCGAUAUGGGGACAUGGAGAUAGGUCGGGUGCCAGGAAUAACAUCAAUGCGGAAGUCAACAUCCCUCUCAGGUGGCAUACAGGCAACUCAUCAGGGAAAACAUCUACAUAAUCACAUACCACUGGGAUAGCUUCAACUGAUAACACAACAUUUGGGGUCUCGGCAAGGGCCCAUAGUAAGCCGGUCUUGACCGCUCGUUGGCCAGGGAACAAGCUAGCUAGGACAAGUAGAGAGUGUAGAGGAGCAUCUCCCUGAAAAAUCAACUCCUCGCCAGAUGGGGCCUGAAGUGAGAUGGUCCUCCAAAAGCAUGAUAUCACGGCAUGAUAUCGAUGUAGCCAAUCCAUGCCAAGAAUGACAUCGAAAGGCUUUAGUGGAAUAACCAUAAGAUUGGCUAUAAAAUCCUCAUCAUCUAUAGAUAUCGCACACCCGGGACAAACUACGGAUGAAGAGAUUGGACCACCUGGAGAACUAACAACCACUGACUGAGAAAUUUGUUGCCUAGAUAAGUUGGCCUUAUUUGCAAAUUCCGACGAUACAAACGAAUAAGUAGCUCCAGAAUCAAAAAGGACAAGUGCAUCAUGUGAGUCAACUGGAAGUAUACCUGUCAUGACAUCCGAUCGUCCCAAAGAAGCACUAGUGGGCAUGACAUAAACUCCAGGCUGUGGUGGAACAGAGGAAGACCCAACACCCUGUUGUGACGGUGCAGGUAGCUGAAGUGGAACUGUCGAUGCAGGAAAAUGGGAUGAAGCCAUCGGAACAGCCUGCCAAACGUAGCCCGGAGGUGGCACGCCAGCUGGUGGAAGUUGGGGAGUAGUAGUGUCAGCUGCUAACACAUGCAUAGAUCCCCGAGAUGAUGCAGGAGUAGUGCCAACAGGCGUCGGCUCCCACUUGAUAAUGCUGGCGGGGUUUUGACGACAUACCAGUCCCUUAUGACCCUCACGAUUGCAAUGGUGGCAUUUCCCAGUCCAGGAACACUUAGAAGCACAGAAGCACAGUGCCCUUCACCACACUUGAAACAAAUCAUGCCUUGCCCUGGCACCGGGCGAAAAGAUGGAGCUGAUGAAGAAGAACGGGGCACCGAAGAAUACUGAGACCUUGACUGCUUGAACUUUGUUGUUUGUUGCGGACGGUAAUUUCCUUUGGACUUCGUGAAAGGAGGUCGAGGAGUAGACCCACUUCCACCGCGGUAACUCACCUUUGAGUCACCACCUGUGCCCCCAGAACCUCCAGCACGAUUCUCCUGGGCUUCUGUGAGGCGGACCUCCAACUCCAUCCCUCUAGCCUGCCUAACCAUUGUUAGGUAAUCUGUAGGGGGGUUUGCUCCCAUCACUUCUCUGUACUUUGAAUUCAGCCCUCUAAAGAAUGCCUUAGCCUUCUCCGCCUCAUUACACUUCACCCGAUCCACAAAGAGUACCAUCUUACUAAAUUCUGCCUCAUACUCAUCCACAGUCAACUUCCCUUGCUUAAGGUAGUUCAACUUCACCGACAUUUCCUCCUUGAAUGAGUCUGGAUAAUACUUUGCGGUGAAUUGUUGCACAAAAAACUCCCAGGUGGGUUGCCCAUAGAUAGGAAUAUGAGCAGCACGGACUCCUGUCCACCAAUCAUCAGCAAGAUUCUUAAGGUUGAAGCGCACAAAUUGGGCUCUCUUUUGCGAAGUCAACUCCAUAGCAUCCAUAUAUUUCUCCAUGGUAUUCAACCAUGACGCUGCAUCCAUUGGCGUCCCAGUUCCAUCAAAGCAAUCAACUUUCAAACCUAUCCAGUCUUUUAAGAUCAUCCCUGGAUCAUUGUGCCCACCACUGUUAGCAGAUUCUCUUGCAAGUUCUUCUCCAUGAUGGCUAUGCUCACUUUCCGCAUGAGGUUCCUCUUCCUGAUUGUUGCGUCCUCCACGACUACGACCACGAGGACCACGACCACGACCUCUACCCCUUGGCAUAGCUAUAAGUAACAUAAUUUAUCAUCAACCAAAAGUCAUUAUUAUAUGCAAACAAGUAUGUCAACAUGAAGAGAAAACAUAAACUUAAGCGUAAUGCAAUGCAUGACCCGACCCAUCCUAUUGUGCAUCAGUGUGUCAAUUUGGUGUUCAUCCAAUAGUCAGAAUCUCAAUCAAUCCUAAAUUCAAAACUAAGUUAGGCUCUUAUCCCAAAUAGAUACACCAGGACCCCUAAAGCCCGUUCUGAUACCAACUGUAACACCCCAACCGACACAGCGCUUGGAAUAUUACCACAUAACACCUUCGAAAUGAAAACAUGCCCUCAAAAGAAUUUCGGCAGAGUUUCCUCUAUUUCUAAGGACAUCCACGACAUGCAAUUCAUAUAGUAUAUAUAUCGCAAAGAACUAGCACCGGUGUAAAGCACAAGGCUACAAUACCAUAACCGAGAACAUCCUCGGUAACUUUAGGCGAUAGCGUUAGUCUUAAGGGGAAAUUAGCUAAGCCAUACAGACCAAGAGGGUAUCUCUCCAAUUCAAGAUGAACCACCACAGGUAGUAAAGUACAACUAUACUAGGUUCUCAAAACACGGUCCUAAAGGACAAUAGGUGUGAGUUCCGUGAAGUGAAAACGGUGAAGAUGCUACUCCCAAGACUUCCAUGCAUGUCGUCCUCAGGAUUUACCUAAAACAAAUAAGCAACAAGGAUGAGUACAAAGACUCAGCAAGUACAUACAUGAAUAAUAAGCAUUACACAUGUCAAGAUACCAAAUCUCUAUUAAGCACCAUACACUCAUCAGCAAUCAACACUUGUAUUCAUGCCCUACGUGCCUACAUGCUCAUCUCAUUUCAUUGCGUAUACCGGUAUCGCUUGAGUCGACGCCCGUCGACAUCCACUCACUCCAACUUGUGGAGGUUGCCUCCACAGUAGGUCGCAACCCAACAAUGGAGGUCUCAAUGUGCCUACCCAAGGUAGGGAACUCUUUCUUUCACGAUCAUCAUGUAUGCAAAUAUGCAAAUGCAAGCAAAGAACUUGAAUCAACAUGUCUUUGUCAUCGUCAUCUCCAUCACAAUAAACAUCAUAGACAUGGGCGAAUAUUAAGAUACAAAAGAAGUGCAGAGGAUAUGCAACGUCGUUAUCCUGUCAUGAACUUGCCUCAACCGCGGGGCACAACUUGUGGGUUAAAGGAUCCUGAACCAGAAGUACCAACACCUGUAAGCAGGCAUAUAUCACAACCAAUACAAAAACAUGGACUUAACUUCUAAGCAUAUAUAAUUCAGCUUCGCUCCUACGCAUAAGACCCCAGUGCAUAUCAAUCAACAUUGAUGAAAUCUGAGAAUAUAUACUUGUUCCUCUACCCAAGUCCAUACAUUAAAAUUCUGUCCAACAUAGACAGCCCACCUUGAUAACUUCAUAGGUUUUAAUAUACCAAACAAAAUAUAAUAAAUGAUAUGUGUUUAAUCAUCUACAGAACAGCAUCUACAAAUAUCAUGUUAUAACUUUAUUUUAAUUCCACAUUUAACAGGUCCUAAUCUCCCAAAUGAAAAUACUGUACGCAGAAAACUGUAUUUCUGGACAGCAAACCAAAUAGACGGCUGCUCUCAAACCGUACAUCCAAACGAGGCAAUUAAGUACUCCACGGAAACCUUAGAACAUGCUUUACAAAUCAUAUGUAGAGCCCAACUCAAAAUUCUAAGCAUAACUAUCCCGUUUUUCACCUAGAAGCUGGCUGUCCAGAUCUGACAGUUCAGUUCUUGUGUAGUUUAUGUGCAGUAUUAACCGAACCAAGUUCAGUUUACAAGGAGAGAUACCCAACGCUCCAGAUUUUACAUGGAAGCAAUCAACACCUCGCAAAAAUAUAGAUGGACUAUCAUCCCCAAUUGAUUUGGUUAAUCAAAGGAACUAACAAAGAGAAGGUCCAGCCUGGGUGUCAAUACCAAAUAGCUAAAAGCAUGGAGAUCACCAAUGAAUUUGCAAAUUGGUUCAGGAAUCCCUUUCCAAAUCCCGAAUCUAAUUCUAAACUAUCAACUGCUACCCAAAUCCCUAAUUAUGACCUAGGAGGCACCAUAGAAAAGGAGAACUGGGACGUACUGCUAGCGACACGACGCCCAGCAGCCACCCCUGCUCGGCAACGACCACGGAGAGGAGAUGCGUCGGGGAGAGCAGCAACCUCGCGGCUCACGGCGGCGGCAACCACCACCAGCAGCAGCGACGGCAGCAAC